GGGCGCGUAGCUCAAUGGUAGAGCAGUGGCCUUUUAAGCCAUUGGUUAAGGGUUCGAGCCCCUUCGCGCUCA
Molecule: transfer RNA, 72 nt
Filed under: Leptolinea tardivitalis
Lineage: Bacteria; Bacillati; Chloroflexota; Anaerolineae; Anaerolineales; Anaerolineaceae
Also listed under: 11 other names
Rfam family: tRNA
About the family: Transfer RNA (tRNA) molecules are approximately 80 nucleotides in length. Their secondary structure includes four short double-helical elements and three loops (D, anti-codon, and T loops).
Source: Rfam by way of RNAcentral